Nicotiana tabacum (common tobacco) is the source of this 1457-nucleotide non-coding RNA. The record is from RefSeq and is a predicted model, not a curated record. Lineage: Eukaryota; Viridiplantae; Streptophyta; Magnoliopsida; Solanales; Solanaceae.
AUUCCUAAAAUUCAAUUGCGCCAGCAACUCGCCAACACCUUUCCCCAAUUCUUUGAUUUGAUUUCUUUAUUUAUUUUUCUCUUUUCUUUCCUUUUUUUUUUAAAUUUUCUUUCCUUAAUUCUUUUCCUCUUCAAAUCUGUAAAGAAAUUGUGAUUGGGAGCCGUGAUUUUAGCUUCAAUUUUAGUCGAAAUCAUUAUCGUAAUUGAAGGUUUGCAUGUUCUUCUUUCCAUCUCAACAUCCGUGGGUUCAAAUUAAUUAGAUGAACUUGGACAGGAUAUGAGGUAAGAGCUCUAAUUCUUCUCUAUUUUUAAUACUAUUUUGAUCUUUUAGUAGUGAAAAUCUUUUAUUUGGAUGGACUUUACUCUGCUACGAUUAAUUUUUCAAAUGGAAACCCCAAUCCCCUUUGAUUGCUAUGACUCCAAUUCUACCGUGAUUGUUUGGGUCUGAUUUUGAUAGCUCAAUUGGAGACCGUAACGGCUAUAAAGGAUUCAAUUAUAAAUACGGAUGGUUUUAGGGGGGUUUAGAGGGGAAGAGGCUCUGUUUAUCGCUGCAACUCACAUAUUAUACUUCCAUACCUUACAUCUGUAUAUAGCUCACAAUUACACGCUUCAGAGAACUGGCUUUUGAUCACUGCUUUGACCUCUGCUUCACUGCUAGUUUUUUUUUCUUUUCGCUACUUCUAUGCUUUGCCGACCAUAAGCCAAGGCAAGGCUUAGUUUUUUUAAUUAGUUUGAUACAAUCUGGAUGUAUCGAGUUCGAGUAUUGGUUUCUCCUUAUUGCUGUUUGAAUUUUCGCACGUAUUACUGCAUACUUUGGAGAGUAUCUGGCUUAUUUUUUGCUAUUGAAGUUACUGGAUUUCUAAUCUUCAUAUUAUAUUGUUAUUCCGCUCUCCAACUGGUUAGUUCCCUGAACGACGCAUCAUAAUUUCUUUAUGUGUUAAUUGUAUGGUAGAAUAGACUAGUUUUUUUGUCCUCUACUCUCUUAAAAUUUUCGUCUAUUUUAUUCUAUUUGCGAGUUGUAUUUGCACUUGGACAUGAUGAAUGUUGUGCGACAUUCCAUUUCGAGCAUGUCAAGUUAAUAACCAGAGAAUGAUGGUAAAUAAGGGAAAUAAGGUUGUUGCUCGGGUUUUGGUUAAAUGGACAGGGUUGCCAGCUGAUUCUGCUACAUUAGAGUUCUUUAAUGCCUUGAAGAUUAGGUUCCUUCACUUUGAUCCUUGUGGUUAAGGAUCGUUUCCGGGAGGGAGUAUUGAUACACAAAAUACACAGUGAGCUCAAGAACAAUCCAGCUCAGUGCCAUGUCUACUUGGUAGUUAAAAGUUAGUUAGGGGUAAGUUGAAGUUAGUUAGGUAGUUAGAGAAAGAUUCCUUCAGUUGUAAUAAAUAGUAGUCAACUCUCAAUUCUUAUAUAGCAUUGUAAUUCAUUACAAAUCAUAAUCAGAACUAUUACAUUUCUCUCUAA